RNAcentral lists this ribosomal RNA (273 nucleotides) under uncultured prokaryote. Its description in RNAcentral is "partial 16S ribosomal RNA". It matches the Rfam family "Bacterial small subunit ribosomal RNA", at positions 524 to 796 of the family's 1533-position model. The record is from RNAcentral.
GACGGGGGGUGCUAGCGUUGCUCGGAAUUACUGGGCGUAAAGCGUGUGUAGGCGGCUUGGUAAGCCAGAUGUGAAAUCCUACGGCUUAACCGUAGAAGUGCAUCUGGAACUGCCUGGCUAGAGUAUGGUAGAGGGCGGGGGAAUUCCCGGUGGAGCGGUGAAAUGCGUAGAUAUCGGGAGGAAUACCGGUGGCGAAGGCGCCCGCCUGGGCCAUUACUGACGCUCAGACACGAAAGCGUGGGGAGCAAACAGGAUUAGAUACCCUAGUAGUCC